GUGGGGAAUAUUGCACAAUGGGGGAAACCCUGAUGCAGCGACGCCGCGUGGAGGAAGAAGGUCUUCGGAUUGUAAACUCCUGUUGUUGAGGAAGAUAAUGACGGUACUCAACAAGGAAGUGACGGCUAACUACGUGCCAGCAGCCGCGGUAAAACGUAGGUCACAAGCGUUGUCCGGAAUUACUGGGUGUAAAGGGAGCGCAGGCGGGAAGACAAGUUGGAAGUGAAAUCCAUGGGCUCAACCCAUGAACUGCUUUCAAAACUGUUUUUCUUGAGUAGUGCAGAGGUAGGCGGAAUUCCCGGUGUAGCGGUGGAAUGCGUAGAUAUCGGGAGGAACACCAGUGGCGAAGGCGGCCUACUGGGCACCAACUGACGCUGAGGCUCGAAAGUGUGGGUAGCAAACAGGAUUAGAAACCCGGGUAGUCC
RNAcentral lists this ribosomal RNA (425 nucleotides) under uncultured bacterium. Its description in RNAcentral is "partial 16S ribosomal RNA". It matches the Rfam family "Bacterial small subunit ribosomal RNA", at positions 354 to 796 of the family's 1533-position model. The record is from RNAcentral.